This 440-nucleotide ribosomal RNA is filed under the name uncultured bacterium. Its description in RNAcentral is "partial 16S ribosomal RNA". It matches the Rfam family "Bacterial small subunit ribosomal RNA", at positions 338 to 795 of the family's 1533-position model. The record is from RNAcentral.
CCUACGGGAGGCAGCAGUGGGGAAUAUUGCACAAUGGGGGAAACCCUGAUGCAGCGACGCCGCGUGAGUGAAGAAGUAUUUCGGUAUGUAAAGCUCUAUCAGCAGGGAAGAAAAUGACGGUAACUGACUAAGAAGCACCUGCUAACUACGUGCCAGCAGCCGCGGUAAUACGUAGGGGGCAAGCGUUCUCCGGAUUUACUGGGUGUAAAGGGAGCGUAGACGGCAGAACAAGUCUGGAGUGAAAUGCCGGGGCUUAACCCCGGAACUGCUUUGGAAACUGUGCAGCUAGAGUGCAGGAGAGGUAAGUGGAAUUCCAAGUGUAGCGGUGAAAUGCGUAGAUAUAAGGAGGAACACCAGUGGCGAAGGCGGCUUACUGGACUGUAACUGACGUUGAGGCUCGAAAGCGUGGGGAGCAAACAGGAUUAGAUACCCGUGUAGUC